UCCGGUUGAUCCUGCCGGACCUGACUGCUGUCGGAUUGGUACUAAGCCAUGCGAGUCAUUGUAGCAAUACAAGGCGGACGGCUCAGUAACACGUAGUCAACGUAACUCGUGGACGUGGAUAACCUCGGGAAACUGAGAAUAAACCACGAUAGAUCAUAGUGCCUGGAAUGGCUUAUGGUCCAAACAGUUUACUGCCAUGGGAUGGGACUGCGGCCUAUCAGCUUGUUGGUGAGGUAAUGGCCCACCAAGGCGAUUACAGGUACGGGCUCUGAGAGGAGAAGCCCGGAGAUGGGUACUGAGACACGGACCCAGGCCCUAUGGGGCGCAGCAGGCGAGAAACCUUAGCAAUGUGCGAAAGCACGACUGGGUCAGUCCGAGUGAUUCCUGAUAAAGGAGUCUUUUGCCUGUCCUAAAAGCACAGGUGAAUAAGGGGUGGGCAAGUCUGGUGUCAGCCGCCGCGGUAAUACCAGCACCUCGAGUGGUCAGGACGUUUAUUGGGCCUAAAGCAUCCGUAGCCGGCUCUGCAAGUCUUCGGUUAAAUCCACCUGCUCAACAGAUGGGCCGCUGGAGAUACUACAGAGCUAGGGAGUGGGAGAGGCAGACGGUAUUCAGUGGGUAGGGGUAAAAUCCUCUGAUCCAUUGAGGACCACCAGUGGCGAAGGCGGUCUGCCAGAACACGUUCGACGGUGAGGGAUGAAAGCUGGGGGAGCAAACCGGAUUAGAUACCCGGGUAGUCCCAGCUGUAAACGAUGCAAACUCGGUGAUGCAUUGGCUUAUGGCCAAUGCAGUGCCGCAGGGAAGCCGUUAAGUUUGCCGCCUGGGAAGUACGGACGCAAGUCUGAAACUUAAAGGAAUUGGCGGGGGAGCACCACAAGGGGUGAAGCCUGCGGUUCAAUUGGAUUCAACGCCGG
RNAcentral lists this ribosomal RNA (911 nucleotides) under uncultured archaeon. Its description in RNAcentral is "bacterial SSU rRNA". It matches the Rfam family "Archaeal small subunit ribosomal RNA", at positions 1 to 921 of the family's 1478-position model. The record is from RNAcentral.